UACGAAGGGGACUAGCGUUGUUCGGAAUCACUGGGCGUAAAGCGCUGGUAGGUGGCUUGACAAGUCGCGUGUGAAAGCUUCCGGCUCAACCGGAAAAGUGCGCGCGAAACUGUGAAGCUUGAGUGCCGGAGAGGGUCGCGGAAUUCCCGGUGUAGAGGUGAAAUUCGUAGAUAUCGGGAGGAACACCUGAGGCGAAGGCGGCGACCUGGAAGGUGACUGACACUGAGCAGCGAAAGCGUGGGGAGCAAACAGG
Molecule: ribosomal RNA, 253 nt
Filed under: uncultured bacterium
Lineage: Bacteria
Description: partial 16S ribosomal RNA
Rfam family: Bacterial small subunit ribosomal RNA
Source: RNAcentral